GUAUUUUAUUUCAAUACAUUACAGAAAAAAUAAAAGACCGGCCUCCAUCCAAUGCUAUUAUUAAGAAAAUAUAAAGGCUCAAACAGGUAAACAAUCAGACUUUAACUAAAUGGAUGUGAAAGGAUCAAAAGACCACCCAAAAAUACCGAAAUGUGCAUGUACGACCGAUCGUAAAGGCAUGCAAAGCAAUGUCAUCAACAGUAUGUGAGCUGAUAUCUUGGACCUACAGUUAUAUCUCUGCGACAGUUGGUGGCCGCGAUAAAUUGGUAUCAAAUACCAGCAGUGCUACAAUAAAACACGACAAGCUUGUUAGCCAAUAUAACCAAGCAUAAAAGUCCGACUAUCAACGAUAUAUUUCUUCGAAGCAUUUCAUAAUAAUUUAUAUGUGUUAAGAUUCAAUGUACUUAUCUUAAACGGGCUGAGUUGCCUAAUUUGUAUGACUGGACAAAUAAUAUCGCAGUAUGAACAUUCAACCUGCACGGGAAUCCAAUCAAUUCCACCAAUCAAAAAUAUAUUCAAUAUAAAUAUGCCAAGUGGAGAACAAUAAAACUAAUUUUCGCUUUAUUAUUUGGAUGAGUUGAGUAGCUCGAGUUUUCUACAUUCCUAAGGGUCUGUGGUACACAAAAGUACAAAAGAACUGAAGGAAUAGAUCGCUAGGAUUUUGUAUAAUAUAAAAACAUUAGCAACAAAGGUGUACAAGCAACAAACACGCAAUUUCGCAUGUUGCACGCCCUAUGCUCUGUGUUAUAUUGUCAUGGCCUUUAACAACACACCUUCAAAGAUAAACAUCAUUCCAUACAUCACGUAUGUCGUAUGAAUAUGGUGUGUAAUUUUGAUAGCAAUAAAUAAAAGAAACGUAAUUGGGGACU
Molecule: long non-coding RNA, 869 nt
Organism: Styela clava
Lineage: Eukaryota; Metazoa; Chordata; Ascidiacea; Stolidobranchia; Styelidae
Source: RefSeq, a predicted model, not a curated record